Molecule: long non-coding RNA, 201 nt
Filed under: Capsicum annuum
Lineage: Eukaryota; Viridiplantae; Streptophyta; Magnoliopsida; Solanales; Solanaceae
Description: long non-coding RNA (CANN_LNC021760)
Source: RNAcentral
GCUAGGAUCCCUAUCUUGCUUUUCGUUUACCUCAGAUACUAGAGAUGAUUCUGAACUACUCUAAACACAUACACUGCCCUCUGAAGAAUCAACUAAACAAAUGCCUAGUCUGGAAAGCUGAUGAACUUCUUGAACUAACUCCAUCUUACUGUCCUCAACAUGAAAAACACUACCUAUGCACAGUCUACUGAGAGCGUCGGC